Molecule: long non-coding RNA, 229 nt
Filed under: Capsicum annuum
Lineage: Eukaryota; Viridiplantae; Streptophyta; Magnoliopsida; Solanales; Solanaceae
Description: long non-coding RNA (CANN_LNC002829)
Source: RNAcentral
GGGAAUCUAGUUAAAGACAUAUUUUAAUAUCUCUCAAUAGAUGAUCCACCUGUUGCAAUAGAUAGACGACCAACACCAAUACCAACACCAACGACACCAAUAUAAUCAAUACCAACACCAACACCAAUACCACAAACACUAAUACCAAUACCACACCACCACCAACUCCACCAAUACCACCACCAUCACCAACACCACCAACACCAACACCACUAAUACCACCACCACC